RNAcentral lists this ribosomal RNA (568 nucleotides) under uncultured bacterium. Its description in RNAcentral is "bacterial SSU rRNA". It matches the Rfam family "Bacterial small subunit ribosomal RNA", at positions 153 to 736 of the family's 1533-position model. The record is from RNAcentral.
GAAACUGGGAAUAAUGCCUUAUAAGAUACGUUUGUCGCAUGGCAUUUGUAUUAAACGCUCCGGCGCCAUAGGAUGGACCCGCGUCCCAUUAGCUAGUUGGUGAGAUAACAGCUCACCAAGGCCACGAUGGGUAACCGGUCUGAGAGGGCGAACGGUCACACUGGAACUGAGACACGGUCCAGACUCCUACGGGAGGCAGCAGUGGGGAAUAUUGCGCGAUGGGGGCAACCCUGACGCAGCAAUACCGCGUGAGUGAAGAAGGUUUUCGGAUCGUAAAGCUCUGUUAUUGGGGAAGGAAAAAAGACGGUACCCAAGAAGAAAGUUCCGGCUAACUACGUGCCAGCAGCCGCGGUAAUACGUAGGGAACAAGCGUUGUCCGGAUUUACUGGGCGUAAAGGGCACGCAGGCGGUUUUUUAAGUCAGAUGUGAAAGGCCACAGCUCAACUGUGGACAUGCAUUUGAAACUGAAAGACUUGAGUAUUGGAGAGGCAAGUGGAAUUCCUAGUGUAGCGGUGAAAUGCGUAGAUAUUAGGAGGAACACCGGUGGCGAAGGCGGCUUGCUGGACAA